RNAcentral lists this unclassified non-coding RNA (183 nucleotides) under soil metagenome. RNAcentral's name for it is "partial internal transcribed spacer 1". The record is from RNAcentral.
CAGAAACAAGGACCAGGAGUCAGGUGCAGACGAAUGCGCGACAUGAUCUCCGAGAUCUCUUCGAGCGUACCAACGCCCCCUGGAAGCGCCACGAAAACAUCGCCGAGUUCGAUCAUCUUCGCUUUGCGUUCACUCAUGUUCUCGACCACAUAAAGCUCGGUCAGAUCCUGUUGCUCAACGCCC